RNAcentral lists this transfer RNA (85 nucleotides) under Felis catus (domestic cat). It matches the Rfam family "tRNA". From Rfam's summary of the family: Transfer RNA (tRNA) molecules are approximately 80 nucleotides in length. Their secondary structure includes four short double-helical elements and three loops (D, anti-codon, and T loops). Further hydrogen bonds mediate the characteristic L-shaped molecular structure. tRNAs have two regions of fundamental functional importance: the anti-codon, which is responsible for specific mRNA codon recognition, and the 3' end, to which the tRNAs corresponding amino acid is attached (by aminoacyl-tRNA synthetases). tRNAs cope with the degeneracy of the genetic code in two manners: having more than one tRNA (with a specific anti-codon) for a particular amino acid; and 'wobble' base-pairing, i.e. permitting non-standard base-pairing at the 3rd anti-codon position. Lineage: Eukaryota; Metazoa; Chordata; Mammalia; Carnivora; Felidae. The record is from Rfam by way of RNAcentral.
CCCUGGGUGGCUCAAUCGGUUGAGCAUCUGACUUCGGCUCAGGUCAUGAUCUCAUGGUUUGUGAGUUCGAGCCCCACAUCAGGCU